Molecule: transfer RNA, 76 nt
Filed under: Opitutales bacterium
Lineage: Bacteria; Pseudomonadati; Verrucomicrobiota; Opitutia; Opitutales
Description: tRNA-Lys
Rfam family: tRNA
About the family: Transfer RNA (tRNA) molecules are approximately 80 nucleotides in length. Their secondary structure includes four short double-helical elements and three loops (D, anti-codon, and T loops).
Source: RNAcentral
GCCUCGCUAGCUCAAUCGGUAGAGCAGUUGACUCUUAAUCAAUUGGUUCGGGGUUCGAGUCCCCGGCGAGGUACCA